Molecule: ribosomal RNA, 434 nt
Filed under: uncultured bacterium
Lineage: Bacteria
Description: bacterial SSU rRNA
Rfam family: Bacterial small subunit ribosomal RNA
Source: RNAcentral
GGCAGACGGGUGAGUAAUACUUGGGCAAUCUGCCCUUGAGUGGGAAACAACCUGCCGAAAGGCGGGCUAAUGUCCCAUAAGACCACAGGAUGGCAUCAUCUAGGGGUCAAAGCUCCGCAAGGGGCGCUUGAUGGAGGAGCCCGAGUCCUAUCAUGGUAGUUGGUGAGGUAACAGCUUACCAAGCCUUUGACGGGUAGCCGGCCUGAAAGGGUGACCGGCCACACUGGCACUGAGACACGGGCCAGACUCAUAACGGGAGGCAGCAGUGGGGAAUUUUGGACAAUGGGGGCAACCCUGAUCCAGCGACGCCGCGCGAAGGAUGAAGGCCUUCGGGUUGUAAACUUCUUUUGAUGGGGAGGAAUGCCUGCGUGAAAAACGCAGGGUGACAGUACCCAUUGAAUAAGCCACGGCUAACUACGUGCCAGCAGCCGCGG